ACCCUCCAGUUCCCUUUCCCAUCGGAUCUGAACACUGGUCUGGGUGGUCGUAAAAGGAGGAAAAGUAACAUUGAAACUGGCCUGAGUGCAUGUAGCACGUGGGCUAGUUUCAAACAAGA
Molecule: small nucleolar RNA, 119 nt
Organism: Loxodonta africana (African savanna elephant)
Lineage: Eukaryota; Metazoa; Chordata; Mammalia; Proboscidea; Elephantidae
Product: small nucleolar RNA SNORA61
Source: Ensembl